RNAcentral lists this signal recognition particle RNA (148 nucleotides) under Gorilla gorilla gorilla (western lowland gorilla). RNAcentral's name for it is "Metazoan signal recognition particle RNA". It matches the Rfam family "Metazoan signal recognition particle RNA". From Rfam's summary of the family: The signal recognition particle (SRP) is a universally conserved ribonucleoprotein. The record is from Rfam by way of RNAcentral. Lineage: Eukaryota; Metazoa; Chordata; Mammalia; Primates; Hominidae.
GCCGGGCAUGGUGGUGUGUGCCCGUAAUCCCAGCUACUCAGGAGGCUGAGACAGGGGAAUUGCUUGAACCUGGGAGGCAGAGGUUGCAGUGAGCCAAGAUCAUGCCACUGCACUCCAGCCUAGGUGACAGAGCGAGACUCUGUCUCAA